ACAACAGGUGGAGCCUGCGGUUUAAUCGGACUCAACGCCGGGAAGCUCACCGGAUAAGACAGCGGAAUGAUAGCCGGGCUGAAGACUCUGCUUGACUAGCUGAGAGGAGGUGCAUGGCCGUCGUCAGUUCGUACUGUGAAGCAUCCUGUUAAGUCAGGCAACGAGCGAGACCCACGCCAACAGUUGCCAGCAUGUCCUCCGGGAUGGUGGGGACACUGUUGGGACCGCCUCUGCUAAAGAGGAGGAAGGAAUGGGCAACGGUAGGUCAGCAUGCCCCGAAUUAUCCGGGCUACACGCGGGCUACAAUGGUCAGGACAAUGGGCAUCAACACCGAAAGGUGAAGGCAAUCUCUUAAACCUGUCCGUAGUUCGGAUUGUGGGCUGCAACUCGCCCACAUGAAGCUGGAAUCUGUAGUAAUCGUGUCUCAAAAUGGCACGGUGAAUAUGUCCCUGCUCCUU
Molecule: ribosomal RNA, 458 nt
Filed under: uncultured Methanolinea sp.
Lineage: Archaea; Methanobacteriati; Methanobacteriota; Methanomicrobia; Methanomicrobiales; Methanoregulaceae
Description: bacterial SSU rRNA
Rfam family: Archaeal small subunit ribosomal RNA
Source: RNAcentral